GAGAUGGGCUUGCGGCCUAUCAGCUAGUUGGUGGGGUAAUGGCCUACCAAGGCGACGACGGGUAGCUGGUCUGAGAGGAUGGUCAGCCGGACUGGGACUGAGACACGGCCCAGACUCCUACGGGGGGCAGCAAUUAGGAAUCUUGCGCAAUGGGCGAAAGCCUGACGCAGCGACGCCGCGUGAAUGAUGAAGUCCUUCGGGAUGUAAAAGUCUUUUGCAAAGGAAGAAGUAUGUGACGGUACUUUGCGAAUAAGCUCCGGCUAACUACGUGCCAGCAGCCGCGGUAAUACGUAGGGAGCGAGCGUUGUCCGAAUUUACUGGGCGUAAAGCGCACGUAGGCGGACUAUUAAGUUGGUGGUGAAAUGCCGAGGCUCAACCUCGGAACUGCCUCCAAAACUGUUAGUCUGAGGUAUGGAGAGGGAACUGGAAUUCCAGGUGUAGCGGUGAAAUGCGUAGAUAUCUGGAGGAACACCCAUGGCGAAGGCAGGUUCCUGGCCAUAUCCUGACGCUGAGGUGCGAAAGCUAGGGUAGCGAACGGGAUUAGAUACCCCGGUAGUCCUAGCCGUAAACGAUGGAUACUAGGUGUUAGUGGUAUCGACCCCACUAGUGCCGCAGCUAACGCAUUAA
This 627-nucleotide ribosomal RNA is filed under the name uncultured bacterium. Its description in RNAcentral is "bacterial SSU rRNA". It matches the Rfam family "Bacterial small subunit ribosomal RNA", at positions 222 to 863 of the family's 1533-position model. The record is from RNAcentral.